AAGUAUGUCUAACUACUGUGAUACUUUCUUUGCUAAUAAUACAAGAUUAUUAAUCUGCUGAAAGUUGUAUAAAAUCUCUUUAGGUAAGAUUAGGCGGCGGAGACUCCCCAGCGCUGCUUGUAGCUGAACUGCAGCUGUAAAACACUGCCAAAAAUCCUGUGUGGAUCCCCGGUAAGAUGGAUGCUGUACACAAGCUGAAGGUUUUGGUGAUGUUUCUGUCUCUGGCUACUUUCACGGUCAUGGUGAUAAUGAACGCUGGAAAUGCCACUGGGAUAUUCAAAGGUCUAUUCAGGACAACCCCUGGAAACAUCUCAGACAAGUACAGCACUGAUUUCACACCAGCUGGCUGGACUUUCCUCAUCUGGAAUGUCAUCUAUGCCUGGCAGCUCGCCUGGCUUCUCUACGCCUUGUCAGGGAUCUGUCGAAGGAAUGAACUUGGACGUGUCUUCAUAAAGCCAGACUUGCUGCCAAUACCUUUUUAUGUGGCAUGGUGUCUGAAUAAUGGCCUCAAUGUUGGAUGGCUCUUUCUGUGGGACCGAGAAUACCUCCUUCCAGCCCUAGUGUUCCUGGUAGUCCUCACUCUUACCACGUGUGCCUCCCUCUUCAUUUCACACCGAGCCUUGAGCAUCUAUUCCUCGUGGUUUGUGAAGGGUCACAAAGCUGAGCUCUGGCUCAUCCGCAUUCUGGUCCAGAACGGGCUGGCACUGUACGGAAUGUGGACCACCAUCGCCACCCUGCUGAACUUCGCCGUUGUGCUGAUCUACCAGGGGAACGUGUCCCACGAGAAAGCAACCACUGCUUCUCUCAGCAUCCUUGCUCUCUGCCUGGUGAUAUGGUUUUACCUAGAAAACUUCUCUCUUGACAAGUAUGUCCGCUAUAACCUCACAAUCUACCCAGUGGUCAUAACAGCUCUGAUUGGCAGUGCAUGCAAGAACAGCUCGUUUUCAUCCCCAAUGACCAACAACAUUUUCAUAGUUGUUCUGCUGGCAGGGACUUCCCUGAUCUUUGCUGUUCGACUGGGACUAGUCACGUGGAGACACUAUAAGAGACCACUGGAAGCCUCAGGAACCACAGACCCGUCAGGCACAGUGGCCUGAGACCUCUGGCAUGUUGUGGCAGAUACCUGAAAGGGAGAAAAAAGAAUUGGGCAUCUGCUGGUCGUUCCUUCCAGUAUCAAUUGCCUUGUGCUUUUCCCUCUUAUUCUCCAUCCCAAAGGCAGGUAGAUGGUGUCUGCAGACCUGUUUCACUCCCACGUUCUCUCGGACGAGCUACUCGCAGCUUUUACUCUGGAAAAGUGCAGGGAAAGGUCCUUUAGCUGAGCAGCCCUGUGCACCUCUGUGGUGCCUGAGCUGCAGCUCUCUGCUCCUGCCAGAGCAAGGAAUGCUGCCAGUGGGAGGUCCUCAGUAUCCACAAGUCCUGGUGCUGUGAGCAGAUCUCCUUCAGGCAGCGACUGCCUCCUUUCCUGCUUCUCUUCAGCAUGACAGAAACAGAUACUACAGCUUGAUAUCUACCUUUACAGUGUCAGCUCUGAUGUUUGAUAGGCAAGGGAGCAGGAGGAGUGACUGAAGACUUCUGACACAAAUGAGUUGCCUUUCCCUGAGCUUGUGCUGGCUGGAUGUCUCCUGCUGGAGGAUGGUUUGUGGCCACUCUGGAAGGAGGUUAGAUGUACAGAUGAGAUGGUACCUGAUCUGGGGUGAAGCCUGCUGCUUCAAAGGAAGCCUGUUUAAGAAAAAAAAAAUAAUAUUUGAACCGGUAGAGCGAGUUCAUCCUGGAUCAGUGCCUUUCUCAUGUGGUUUCACUACUUCUUAGUUGGUAUUAAGAAGCCUACAAGUGGGUUGACUGAAUUGUUGGACCACUGCCUCUAUUUCCUGUGCCUAAUCGAGAGUUGGUGGUGCCUCACAGGUGUCUGGAAAGUGUUUUUACAUGGCAGGUGCUUUCAGAUAUUGAAUAUCUUGCAAUACUAUUGCAAAGCUAAAU
Molecule: long non-coding RNA, 1977 nt
Filed under: Manacus vitellinus (golden-collared manakin)
Lineage: Eukaryota; Metazoa; Chordata; Aves; Passeriformes; Pipridae
Description: lncRNA (ENSMVIG00005018485.1)
Source: RNAcentral